ACGGGAGGCAGCAGUGAGGAAUAUUGGUCAAUGGGCGAGAGCCUGAACCAGCCAAGUAGCGUGAGGGAAGACGGCCCUACGGGUUGUAAACCUCUUUUGCGCGGGAAUAAAAAAUGCCACGCGUGGCAUCUUGCAUGUACCGCAGCGAAUAAGGACCGGCUAAUUCCGUGCCAGCAGCCGCGGUAAUACGGAAGGUCCGAGCGUUAUCCGGAUUUAUUGGGUUUAAAGGGAGCGCAGGCGGAGUGAUAAGCCAGCCGUAAAAUAGUCGGGCUCAACCCGAUCCCGCGGUUGGAACUGUCGCCCUUGAGUGCGGGAGAGGAAGGCGGAACUCGUGGUGUAGCGGUGAAAUGCAUAGAUAUCACGAAGAACUCCGAUCGCGAAGGCAGCUUUCCGGCCCGUAACUGACGCUGAGGCUCGAAGGCGCGGGUAUCAAACAGGAUUAGAUACCCUGGUA
This 454-nucleotide ribosomal RNA is filed under the name uncultured Prevotellaceae bacterium. Its description in RNAcentral is "bacterial SSU rRNA". It matches the Rfam family "Bacterial small subunit ribosomal RNA", at positions 341 to 792 of the family's 1533-position model. The record is from RNAcentral. Lineage: Bacteria; Pseudomonadati; Bacteroidota; Bacteroidia; Bacteroidales; Prevotellaceae.